CAGACCAACCAGCCCAAGGAACAUCUCACUAAUUUUAAAUCAGAUAUUCUCGGCAAAUGGCUGAAGACUGAGGCUGCCCCAUCGCCUCGGAUGCCUCCUGGACCAUCACAGACGCUUUGGGUAACUCUUACGGUGGAGGAUAAGAAACCCAAGGCGUAGAGAGGCCCUGUAAUUUGCUCAAGAACAAGAAGCUACUACGUCUGAAAUCUUAUCCUUCUGACCCCUCGAUCCGGGUCUUUGCACAGGAGAAAGGUUGUUAUCAGUGUCAGGAAACCCGUAAUCCUACAGCCAGCUGUGAAGAUUCCAGAAUGCCUUUCACUUUACAGGUGAGGAACUAGAGGGCCCCUCUGGAAAGCUUAUGAACACCCUGACUCCAGAGCUCACCCUCCCGCACUGGGAAGGAAAGUCCCUCUUUUCACUUUGUCACUCCCACGCACCUCCCAAGGCACCCACAGCAUGGUCACUCUUCGAUGACUGUUUGUAUUGUAAGUGGCUCCUCCAACUCUGUUCCACAGUCCCUCCAUGGAUGCCCUGGAGGAGGCAGGCGGGACAGGUCCCAUUUUACAGAUGGCCAAAGGGAUGAGUGACUACACAGCUCAUCCCAGGAGAGCCACCUGGCCACGCUUCCUGAUA
Molecule: long non-coding RNA, 633 nt
Organism: Cercocebus atys (sooty mangabey)
Lineage: Eukaryota; Metazoa; Chordata; Mammalia; Primates; Cercopithecidae
Exons: 4
Source: RefSeq, a predicted model, not a curated record